RNAcentral lists this small nuclear RNA (18 nucleotides) under Arabidopsis thaliana (thale cress). RNAcentral describes it as "snRNA_08049". The record is from RNAcentral. Lineage: Eukaryota; Viridiplantae; Streptophyta; Magnoliopsida; Brassicales; Brassicaceae.
UAAACCCGUAAGGCGCAA